GAUGAACGCUAGCUACAGGCUUAACACAUGCAAGUCGCGGGGCAGCAUGGGGGUUGCUUGCAAUCCCCGAUGGCGACCGGCGCACGGGUGAGUAACGCGUAUCCAACCUGCCCUUCACCACGGGAUAACCCGGCGAAAGUCGGACUAAUACCGUAUGUUGUCCAUUGACGGCAUCCGAUUUGGACGAAAGGUUUGGCGGUGAAGGAUGGGGAUGCGUCCGAUUAGCUGGACGGCGGGGUGACGGCCCACCGUGGCGACGAUCGGUAGGGGUUCUGAGAGGAAGGUCCCCCACACUGGAACUGAGACACGGUCCAGACUCCUACGGGAGGCAGCAGUGAGGAAUAUUGGUCAAUGGGCGUAAGCCUAAACCAGCCAAGUAGCGUGUAGGAUGACGGCCCUAUGGGUUGUAAACUGCUUUUAUGCGGGGAUAAAGUGGCCCACGUGUGGGUUUUUGCAGGUACCGCAUGAAUAAGGACCGGCUAAUUCCGUG
This 490-nucleotide ribosomal RNA is filed under the name uncultured bacterium. Its description in RNAcentral is "partial 16S ribosomal RNA". It matches the Rfam family "Bacterial small subunit ribosomal RNA", at positions 28 to 507 of the family's 1533-position model. The record is from RNAcentral.